AACGAACGCUGGCGGCAUGCCUAACACAUGCAAGUCGAACGAGACCUUCGGGUCUAGUGGCGCACGGGUGCGUAACGCGUGGGAACCUGCCCUUAGGUUCGGAAUAACUCCCCGACAGGGGUGCUAAUACCGGAUAAUGUCUUCGGACCAAAGAUUUAUCGCCUUUGGGUGGGCCCGCGUUGUAUUAGCUAGUUGGUAGGGUAAAAGCCUACCAAGGCGACGCUCCAUAGCUGGUCAGAGAGGAUGAGCAGCCACACUGGGACUGAGACACGGCCCAGACUCCUACGGGAGGCAGCAGUGGGGAAUAUUGGACAAUGGGCGAAAGCCUGAUCCAGCAAUGCCGCGUGAGUGAUGAAGGCCUUAGGGUUGUAAAGCUCUUUUACCCGGGAUGAUAAUGACAGUACCGGGAGAAUAAGCUCCGGCUAACUCCGUG
RNAcentral lists this ribosomal RNA (433 nucleotides) under uncultured bacterium. RNAcentral describes it as "partial 16S ribosomal RNA". It matches the Rfam family "Bacterial small subunit ribosomal RNA", at positions 29 to 507 of the family's 1533-position model. The record is from RNAcentral.